RNAcentral lists this ribosomal RNA (476 nucleotides) under Koreoleptoxis diminuta. RNAcentral's name for it is "partial large subunit ribosomal RNA". It matches the Rfam family "Bacterial large subunit ribosomal RNA", at positions 1809 to 2559 of the family's 2925-position model. The record is from RNAcentral. Lineage: Eukaryota; Metazoa; Mollusca; Gastropoda; Pleuroceridae.
AAAAACAUGGCUCUUUGCUUAUAUAAAUAUAAAGAGUCGAGCCUGCCCAGUGAAUUUUUUUAACGGCCGCGGUACUCUGACCGUGCAAAGGUAGCAUAAUCAUUUGCCUUAUAAUUGAAGGCUAGUAUGAAUGGUUUAACGAAAGCAAUACUGUCUCCUUUUUAUUUUCAAGAACUUGACCUUUAGGUGAAGAGGCCUAAAUUUUAUUGAAGGACAAGAAGACCCUGUCGAGCUUAAAAGAUGCCAUAGAAGUCUAAUAUACUUUUAAAUAAAUUUUCUAUCAAGCUUUUUAGUUGGGGCGACUAAGGAACAAAAAAAGCUUCUUCUUAACAAUAAACAAUCAUGUUUAGAUCCGGUAGCAAACGAUUAAAGGAAUUAGUUACCGCAGGGAUAACAGCAUAAUCUCUCUUAAGAGACCUAAUCGAAAGAGGGGGUUGUGACCUCGAUGUUGGACUAGAAUAUCCUGAAGAUGCAGA